AGAAAGAAGCUUAUAAAGCUUACAAAAAAUGGAAGUAAUUUGAAGAUCUUCAAUUCUCACGGUCUGACGCAAGAGUUGAUUCGAAAAUUAUAAAAUUUUCUCAGAACAAUUUUUGAGAAAAAGUUAGAAGAAAAAAUGAUCGUUGUCCUGAAGAGAUGAGGAAUGAACGGAUCAUGUAAUACACCCUGAAAAAAAAUCAAAACAUGUGGUCAUGUUAUGCCCAAAAAUAAAGUUUCACGUGCAGUAGGAAACAGAGAAUAUUUUUUAAAAAGAAAAGAAAAGUUAAAGUUAGAGAGGUGUUACCAGAGAAGCAAAGAUGGGCUGCAUAUGUCUU
RNAcentral lists this long non-coding RNA (334 nucleotides) under Brassica rapa (field mustard). Its description in RNAcentral is "long non-coding RNA (BRAP_LNC001954)". The record is from RNAcentral. Lineage: Eukaryota; Viridiplantae; Streptophyta; Magnoliopsida; Brassicales; Brassicaceae.